Long non-coding RNA from Hypomesus transpacificus, 2401 nucleotides. RefSeq lists it as uncharacterized. Lineage: Eukaryota; Metazoa; Chordata; Actinopteri; Osmeriformes; Osmeridae. The record is from RefSeq and is a predicted model, not a curated record. The transcript is spliced from 3 exons.
GUGUUCUAACGCAGUUAAAAUUUUAACACAAUAGUAAUUAUUUGACCAUUAAUUUGUUUAAGAAAUCGCCACUGGCAGAGAUGCAGAUCGUGACAAGGCGACCCCCCAAAAAAUCUCUAGCGACCCACCUGAGGGUUGCGACCCAGUCUUUGGGAAACACUGAUCUAGAUGACUUGCUUGUGUUCGCAUCUACGGAGACGGAGGCCAUGGGGAGGCUGGAGGUCGUUUUUCAGCGACUGAGGCUCCACAAUCCCAAAUUACGACCAAAGAAAUGCCACCUAAUGUGACCACGCUCUCCUCAGUCUGAAGAGGAAUUUGUUGGAUUGUGUAGUCCUUGCCCAUCCUGACUUCACACGUCCUCUGAUCUUGUCAAUUGAUGCUUCUCUAGACGGACUUGGUGCCGUACUAUCACAGAUACCAGCAGGUGAAGAGACGGCAAGGCCCAUUGCUUUUGCAAGCAAGACAAUGAGCAAGUCCCAGGAGAGGUACCCUGCACACAGACUCAAGUUUUUGGCUUUAAAAUGUGUGUAAGAAAUUCAGCCAUUGGCUUAAAGGGCACCCUUUUACCGUGUGGACAGAUAACAACCCACUCACGUAUAUUAUGACAAAGCCCAAACUUGAUGCAUGUGAGCAGUGUUGGGUCUCGAAGCUGGCCCCUUACACAUUCGACCUGAAGCACAUUGCGGGGAAGAAGAACAUAGUAGCUGAUGCACUCAGCCAAGAACCAUUGGCCACAGACUCAUUACUGAGCGCUACGACAAGUUGCUCACUGAAGCUGAGAGCGUGGGCGAGGACGGAGUUCAGGACACUUUCCGUCUGAAAGUUCAGUGUCAUGUGGCGGAGAAACCAACUCUUGGGACUCAACCUGAUCCCCUCUCUAUGUCAUAUUGGCCAAGACACCAGAGCCAUCUGCCAGGGCCCCACUUGAAAGUAUCAGGACAUCUGCUCCUAUGGAGUUAGUCUGCUCGGAUUUCUGGAGUGCAGAGGACAACCGAGAGGGGAACCGAGAGGUUCAACAGAACGCUUGGAAGUAUGCUGCGGUUGUUGCCACUCAGAGAAAAACACAAGUGGGUUGAGCAAAUACAAACCUUAACAUUUGCAUACAAUGCAACAGUACAUGAGACAACUGGAUAUGCACCAUUUUACCUGAUGUUUGGUCGCAUUCCAAGACUACCGGUUGGUGUAAUGUUCAAGCAGGUGCUGCAGGACCCAGUAGUUGUGGAUCAUGGCACCUACGUGAAAACACUGGUGUCCCAUCUUCAUGAAGCAGCGAACAUCGCUCAGCAGCGCACCAUCAAAGAACAAGCUAAGCAAUCCCAAGGUUACAACAAAAAGGCCAAGGGCACUCACCUGAACAGGGGUGACAGAGUGCUUGUCGCUAACAAAGGCGAGAGAGGCAAGAGGAAGUUAGCGGACAAGUGGGAAGCAACAGUCUACACAAUCGUGGACAGGGAUCCACGUACACAUGUAUACAAACUGGAAGAUGACAAAGGAAACACCAAAGUUUUACAUCGUAACCUCAUCCUUGAUAUCAGCUUCCUACCGGUUGAGUCGCCUGAGGAUGUGGAAAGGAGGGUCUCUCUCCAAUGUCAUGGAUUCGGAGAGUGAGGGUGACAUAGUGGAUCUCAUGGAUUCCUUGGAGGAUUCGGAGGAUAGGAUAAAUAGGUGGAUGCUAGGUGGGUCAGGAGAAACCGUCAGUCAAGAGUCUUUGGAUGGAGAAGCUACAGAGCCAGAUCAGUCAAGGCUUACCGGAGUCCAGCUAUCAAGAGCGACUGAGGCUUGAUCACCCUUAGUUUUCUCUUAAUCAGUUUUUUUUUCAGAUGGGCAGUAGCUUGUAUGUAAAGACAAUUUUCUUUAUGUAAUCCCCGGUCCAGUUUUGAGUGUGUCAAUCGUCCCUGUUUUUGUUUGUUUGUUUGUUUUUUUUAUCCUGUGGGUGUUUGGAAAGGCUUUUAGUGAAAUUCAGGAGGAAUAAUCAUUUGUUUUUCACACAAAAUCCCUCUCCAUUUUAUUGCCAUUAUUGUACUGCUGUUUGUUUUAUUUAAUUAUACGUUUUGAUUUACUUUAAAGAGCUUCAUAGAAUGUAUUUUGGCGUUCUGUCGACGACGUCAUCGGUGUGCUUGGUGAGAUCUUGUCUGUGCGGAGACUUUCUGAGCUAGCUGCGUUGGAGAAGCCUGCUCAUUGUGCCACAUUUUGUAUUUCUGUCCAGACUUUUUGAGAGUACAAAUUAACUCUCACACCGCCAGAGAAGUUGUCUGUGCAAUCAUUCACAACGCAAGUGUCAGACAGUAAAGGCGGGCUACACCAGCAACGACACGUGACGCUAAAAGAAUGUGGACUUCACUACGGGAACACACCAGACUGCCUUACCGCUUCUGUGUUCUCCUGCCACGCCACAACUCUG